RNAcentral lists this ribosomal RNA (202 nucleotides) under uncultured bacterium. RNAcentral describes it as "partial 16S ribosomal RNA". It matches the Rfam family "Bacterial small subunit ribosomal RNA", at positions 524 to 724 of the family's 1533-position model. The record is from RNAcentral.
UACGUAGGGGGCAAGCGUUGUCCGGAUUUAUUGGGCGUAAAGAGCGUGUAGGCGGCCACACAGGUCAGCUGUGAAAACUCGAGGCUCAACCUCGAGACGUCGGUUGAAACCGUAUGGCUAGAGUCCGGGAAGAGGAGAGUGGAAUUCCCGGUGUAGCGGUGAAAUGCGCAGAUAUCGGGAAGAACACCCGUGGCGAAGGCGG